This 471-nucleotide ribosomal RNA is filed under the name uncultured bacterium. RNAcentral's name for it is "bacterial SSU rRNA". It matches the Rfam family "Bacterial small subunit ribosomal RNA", at positions 1 to 474 of the family's 1533-position model. The record is from RNAcentral.
UAGAGUUUGAUCCUGGCUCAGAUUGAACGCUGGCGGCAUGCUUUACACAUGCAAGUCGAACGGCAGCACGGGGGCAACCCUGGUGGCGAGUGGCGAACGGGUGAGUAAUGCAUCGGAACGUGUCCUGUAAUGGGGGAUAACCUGGCGAAAGCCAGGCUAAUACCGCAUACGUCCUGAGGGAGAAAGCGGGGGAUCGUAAGACCUCGUGUUAUAGGAGCGGCCGAUGUCGGAUUAGCUAGUUGGUGGGGUAAAGGCCUACCAAGGCGACGAUCCGUAGCGGGUCUGAGAGGACGGCCCGCCACACUGGGACUGAGACACGGCCCAGACUCCUACGGGAGGCAGCAGUGGGGAAUUUUGGACAAUGGGGGGCAACCCUGAUCCAGCCAUGCCGCGUGAGUGAAGAAGGCCUUCGGGUUGUAAAGCUCUUUCGGCCGGGAAGAAAUCGUGCGGGCUAAAUACCCUGUAUGGAUG